CCUACGGGGGGCUGCAGUAAGGAAUAUUGGGCAAUGGAGGCAACUCUGACCCAGCCAUGCCGCGUGAAGGAUGACGGCCCUAUGGGUUGUAAACUUCUUUUAUACGGGAAUAAACCCGGGUACGUGUACCCGGCUGAAUGUACCGUAAGAAUAAGGAUCGGCUAACUCCGUGCCAGCAGCCGCGGUAAUACGGAGGAUCCAAGCGUUAUCCGGAUUCAUUGGGUUUAAAGGGUGCGUAUGCGGCAGCGUAGAAAUUCUGCAGCUUAACUGUAGAAUGGCCGUUGAUACUGCAAGUCUUGAGUACAUUUGAGGUGGGCGGAAUGUGUCGUGUAGCGGUGAAAUGCAUAGAUAUGACACGGAACACCAAUUGCGAAGGCAGCUCACAAAACUGUAACUGACGCUGAGGCACGACAGCGUGGGGAUCAAACAGGAUUAGAUACCCCGGUAGUC
Molecule: ribosomal RNA, 450 nt
Filed under: uncultured bacterium
Lineage: Bacteria
Description: partial 16S ribosomal RNA
Rfam family: Bacterial small subunit ribosomal RNA
Source: RNAcentral